This 75-nucleotide transfer RNA is filed under the name Candidatus Jorgensenbacteria bacterium RIFCSPLOWO2_01_FULL_45_25b. RNAcentral's name for it is "tRNA-Arg". It matches the Rfam family "tRNA". From Rfam's summary of the family: Transfer RNA (tRNA) molecules are approximately 80 nucleotides in length. The record is from RNAcentral. Lineage: Bacteria; Candidatus Joergenseniibacteriota.
GCUCCCGUAGUUCAACGGAUAGAAUGCAAGAUUGCGGAUCUUGCGAUAGAGGUUCGAUUCCUCUCGGGAGCACAA